Molecule: ribosomal RNA, 486 nt
Filed under: uncultured bacterium
Lineage: Bacteria
Description: partial 16S ribosomal RNA
Rfam family: Bacterial small subunit ribosomal RNA
Source: RNAcentral
GAUGAACGCUGGCGGCGUGCUUAACACAUGCAAGUCGAACGAAGCACUCGUGCGUUCUCGGACAAAUGAGUGACUGAGUGGCGGACGGGUGAGUAACGCGUGGGUAACCUGCUCAUACAGGGGGAUAACAGCUGGAAACGGCUGCUAAUACCGCAUAAGCGCACAGUAUCGCAUGAUAAGGUGUGAAAAACUCCGGUGGUAUGAGAUGGACCCGCGUCUGAUUAGCUAGUUGGUGAGGUAAUGGCCCACCAAGGCGACGAUCAGUAGCCGACCUGAGAGGGUGACCGGCCACAUUGGGACUGAGACACGGCCCAAACUCCUACGGGAGGCAGCAGUGGGGAAUAUUGCACAAUGGGCGAAAGCCUGAUGCAGCGACGCCGCGUGAGUGAAGAAGUAUUUCGGUAUGUAAAGCUCUAUCAGCAGGGAAGAUAAUGACGGUACCUGACUAAGAAGCACCGGCUAAAUACGUGCCAGCCGCCGCCGUAA